Non-coding RNA from Angiostrongylus costaricensis, 83 nucleotides. The record is from Rfam. NCBI's taxonomy places the organism in Eukaryota, Metazoa, Nematoda, Chromadorea, Rhabditida, Metastrongylidae.
CCGUCGAUAUCUCAGAUGGUAGAGCGGAGGACUGUAAAGUUGCAGCAAUCCUCAGGUCGCUAGUUCGAAUCCGGCUCGACGGA